Molecule: small nucleolar RNA, 159 nt
Organism: Cynoglossus semilaevis (tongue sole)
Lineage: Eukaryota; Metazoa; Chordata; Actinopteri; Pleuronectiformes; Cynoglossidae
Product: small nucleolar RNA U109
Exons: 1
Source: RefSeq, a predicted model, not a curated record
CUGCAUGUUUUGGCCCCCAGGGGCCACUGCUGGCCUCUCUGUUUCAAUAGAGUGGACAAGAACAAACAUGCUAGAUUGACAUGUGUAACACAUGGGAGUUAUCAGGGCCACCAGUCUUUGAAGGACAGACUGAGUCGGUAGUAUAAUACUCCAACAUUC